AGGGUUUGAUCCUGGCUCAGAAUGAACGCUGGCGGCGUGCCUAACACAUGCAAGUCGUACGAGAAAUCCCGAGCUUGCUUGGGAGAGUAAAGUGGCGCACGGGUGAGUAACGCGUGGGUAACCCACCUUCGAAUCUGGGAUAACUCCGCGAAAGCGGUGCUAAUACCGGAUAAGACCACAGCCGUUUCGGCGGCAGAGGUAAAAGCUGACCUCUCCAUGGAAGUUAGCGUUCGAGGACGGGCCCGCGUCCUAUCAGCUUGUUGGUGGGGUAAAGGCCUACCAAGGCAGCGACGGGUAGCUGGUCUGAGAGGAUGAUCAGCCACACUGGAACUGGAACACGGUCCAGACUCCUACGGGAGGCAGCAGUGAGGAAUUUUGCGCAAUGGGGGAAACCCUGACGCAGCAACGCCGCGUGGGUGAAGAAGGCUUUCGGGUCGUAAAGCCCUGUCAGGUGGGAAGAACCGUUUCGAUACUAAUAAUGUCGAAGCCUGACGGUACCACCAGAGGAAGCACCGGCCAACUCCGUGCCAGCAGCCGCGGUAAUACGGAGGGUGCAAGCGUUGUUCGGAAUUAUUGGGCGUAAAGAGCGUGUAGGCGGUUCGGUAAGUCAGAUGUGAAAGCCCUGGGCUCAACCCAGGAAGUGCAUUUGAAACUACCAGACUUGAGUACGGGAGAGGAGGGGGGAAUUCCCGGUGUAGAGGUGAAAUUCGUAGAUAUCGGGAGGAAUACCAGUGGCGAAGGCGCCCCUCUGGACCGAUACUGACGCUGAGACGCGAAAGCGUGGGGAGCAAACAGGAUUAGAUACCCUGGUAGUCCACGCCGUAAACGAUGAGCACUAGGUGUAGCGGGUAUUGACCCCUGCUGUGCCGUAGCUAACGCAUUAAGUGCUCCGCCUGGGGACUACGGUCGCAAGACUAAAACUCAAAGGAAUUGACGGGGACCCGCACAAGCGGUGGAGCAUGUGGUUUAAUUCGA
This 975-nucleotide ribosomal RNA is filed under the name uncultured delta proteobacterium. RNAcentral's name for it is "bacterial SSU rRNA". It matches the Rfam family "Bacterial small subunit ribosomal RNA", at positions 8 to 954 of the family's 1533-position model. Lineage: Bacteria; Deltaproteobacteria. The record is from RNAcentral.